AUACGUAGGGUGCGAGCGUUGUCCGGAAUUACUGGGCGUAAAGAGCUCGUAGGUGGUUUGUCGCGUCGUCUGUGAAAUUCCGGGGCUUAACUCCGGGCGUGCAGGCGAUACGGGCAUAACUUGAGUACUGUAGGGAAGACUGGAAUUCCUGGUGUAGCGGUGAAAUGCGCAGAUAUCAGGAGGAACACCGGUGGCGAAGGCGGGUCUCUGGGCAGUAACUGACGCUGAGGAGCGAAAGCAUGGGUAGCGAACAGGAUUAGAUACCCUGGUAGUCCAUGCCGUAAACGGUGGGCGCUAGGUGUAGGGGUCUUCCACGACUUCUGUGCCGUAGCUAACGCAUUAAGCGCCCCGCCUGGGGAGUACGGCCGCAAGGCUAAAACUCAAAGGAAUUGACGGGG
RNAcentral lists this ribosomal RNA (398 nucleotides) under uncultured bacterium. RNAcentral describes it as "partial 16S ribosomal RNA". It matches the Rfam family "Bacterial small subunit ribosomal RNA", at positions 523 to 918 of the family's 1533-position model. The record is from RNAcentral.